Molecule: ribosomal RNA, 216 nt
Filed under: uncultured bacterium
Lineage: Bacteria
Description: partial 16S ribosomal RNA
Rfam family: Bacterial small subunit ribosomal RNA
Source: RNAcentral
UGGGAAUCUGCCCUUGGGUUCGGGAUAACAGUUGGAAACGACUGCUAAUACCGGAUGAUGACUUCGGUCCAAAGAUCUAUCGCCCAGGGAUGAGCCCGCGUCGGAUUAGCUAGUUGGUGGGGUAAAGGCCUACCAAGGCAACGAUCCGUAGCUGGUCUGAGAGGAUGAUCAGCCACACUGGGACUGAGACACGGCCCAGACUCCUACGGGAGGCAG